RNAcentral lists this ribosomal RNA (256 nucleotides) under uncultured Glomus. RNAcentral describes it as "partial 18S ribosomal RNA". It matches the Rfam family "Eukaryotic small subunit ribosomal RNA", at positions 624 to 885 of the family's 1831-position model. The record is from RNAcentral. Lineage: Eukaryota; Fungi; Glomeromycota; Glomeromycetes; Glomerales; Glomeraceae.
AAGCUCGUAGUUGAAUUUCGGGAUUAGUACGUCGGUCGUGCCUUAGGUACGUACUGGUGUUACUGGUUCCUACCUUCUGACGAACCAUCAUGUCAUUAAUUUGGUGUGGUGGGGAAUCAGGACUGUUACUUUGAAAAAAUUAGAGUGUUUAAAGCAGGCUCGCGCUUGAAUACAUUAGCAUGGAAUAAUGAAAUAGGACGUUGAUCCUAUUUUGUUGGUUUCUAGGAUUGACGUAAUGAUUAAUAGGGAUAGUGGG